This 253-nucleotide ribosomal RNA is filed under the name uncultured bacterium. Its description in RNAcentral is "partial 16S ribosomal RNA". It matches the Rfam family "Bacterial small subunit ribosomal RNA", at positions 524 to 776 of the family's 1533-position model. The record is from RNAcentral.
UACGUAGGGACCAAGCGUUGUUCGGAUUUACUGGGCGUAAAGGGCGCGUAGGCGGCUUAACAAGUCACUUGUGAAAUCUCCGGGCUUAACUCGGAACGGCCAAGUGAAACUGUCAAGCUAGAGUGCAGAAGGGGCAAUCGGAAUUCUUGGUGUAGCGGUGAAAUGCGUAGAUAUCAAGAGGAACACCUGCGGCGAAGGCGGGUUGCUGGGCUGACACUGACGCUGAAGCGCGAAAGCUAGGGGAGCGAACGGG